RNAcentral lists this transfer RNA (74 nucleotides) under Armatimonadota bacterium. RNAcentral's name for it is "Armatimonadetes bacterium (hot springs metagenome) tRNA-Pro". It matches the Rfam family "tRNA". Rfam says of the family: Transfer RNA (tRNA) molecules are approximately 80 nucleotides in length. Their secondary structure includes four short double-helical elements and three loops (D, anti-codon, and T loops). RNAcentral also lists the same sequence under 1 other name. Lineage: Bacteria; Bacillati; Armatimonadota. The record is from RNAcentral.
CGGGGUGUGGCUCAGCUUGGUAGAGCGCGCGGUUCGGGACUGCGAGGUCGGCGGUUCAAGUCCGCCCACCCCGA